AAAGAAAAAGAAAAAAAAAAAGAAAUAAAAGAAAAAGAAAAAAAAGAGAAUGAACUAAAGUAGGUUGUUAAACAACAAAAUGUUACCAACAAGUAUUCGAACCUGAGACAUCCGUGUCUCAAAAUAGUGAUGUUAUCACUGCGCCAAGUGAAUAGAUCAGUGAUAUAUUACUAGCGAUUCUGUAUAUAUCCGUUUAUUUUUUUUUCUUCCAGCCAAUUUUUUUUUAAAAUUUUUUUUAGGGGUAGCAUAUGCUACCCUUUAUUACUUAAUAGAUCCGCCCCUAAGGGAAAGACAUGGGUGGCUCGCUGGAGGAGGAGCGAGAUCCAAAGGUAGGAAAAGGAGGAGAGUGAUGGCUGGUGGAUCUUUUACGGUUUCAAACUAGCAGCAAUAAGGACUAAGGAGUGCAAACUUUGGAAUAUAAAAUACCAAUAAAAAAAUCAAAAAUUAUUAAAAGAGACGGUCUAAUUUUAAUAUAAAAGUAGACCUAGUCACUAAAUGGAUUAAACUAUUCACCGAAAGAAAUUAACCUAGUCACUAUUGAUAUAAGUCUCUUUUUAAUAUUAGACUUAUCAUUGCCUAAUUUUAAUUUAAAAGUAGGCGGUCUCUUACAAGACAAACUUUUUCUAUUUAGAGUUUGACUAAACCUACAUUAAAUUAGGUUUAUAAACAAAACUAUCUUAAUUUUUCUCUCUCCUACUAUCACAUGACUGAGAAAAAAACCACGAACUAGGUUCUUUUUCUUUCUCCCAAAAUUGUUACUUCUCUGUUUCCCAUCUUGAUCAAUUGGAUAGUUCAUCUCAUCUAAUUGUAGGCUUUGGCAGCAUAUGAAUAUAAAAUAUUUAGGGCAUGUUCUCCCCGGCUUAUUUUCAGUUCAGUUCAGUUCAGCUCCAAUAAGUUCAGUUCAGUUCAGCUCCAAUAAGUUCAGUUCGGUUCAGUUCAGUUCAGCUCAGUUCCAUUCUUUUAUAAUCAUUUUGUUAAAUAUUAUUAUUAUGUUGGUAUAAUUUAUUUUACUUAUUAUUAUUAUUAUUAUUAUUAUUAUUAUUAUUAUUAUUAUUAUUAUUAUUAUUAUUAUUAUCAUUAUUAUUAUUAUCAUUAUCAUUAUUAUUAUUAUUAUUAUUAUUAUUAUUAUUAUUAUCAUCAUUAUUAUUAUUAUUUAAAUAUAUAUCAUUACUAUUAAGUAUUAUUAUAUUAUUAUUGUUGUUUCUAUAUAUUAUUUUGUUUAUUAUACCUUUACUCAUUAUUAUUACUAUUAUUAUUCGGAGGAACAUGGUUUAGGUCAAAGCACAAAUAAACCCACUUUUUUUAGCCCAUAAACCAAUCAAAUCGCGUCAAGACGUUUUAUCCAACCCAAUCAUUAUUUUUAUUACUAAAUAUUUUUAUAUUAUUAAAUCUAAUUAUUAAAAUAGUAAUAUUAAUUUACUUCUUAGAUAUUAUUGUUAUUAUAUAUCAUCAUCAAGUACUAAUGUAUUAAUACAAAUAAUAUAAAGUAAUUAUUAUCAAUUAUCAUUAUUAUCAUUAAUUAUUAUUAUUAUUAUUAUUAAUUUAUGAUUAUUAAUAUUAUUUAUUUAUAACUAUCAUUUAAAAAUAUCCAAAACACUAUUAUUAUUAUUCAUUAUUAUUACUUAUCAUUAUAAUUAUUAUUUAAUAUUCAUAUUAUUAUUGUUUUAAAUAUUAGUUAUAUAUUUAUUACAUUCAAUUUAAUUCAAUUUAAUUUAAUUCAAUUCAAUUCGGUUCAGUUCAGUUCAGCUCCAAUAUGUUCAGUUAAGCUGUUUUAUGCCGAAGAGAACAUGCCCUUAGUUAAGUUUAUGACUUUUGAUUUGCAUCCGAAAAAAAUAAAAGGAAAAGAAUCAUGUUAUGGUGAUCAGCACCUCUUGCGUGUGGCCGGCCACACGCGAAAUUAUAAGUGUGGCCACGCACGACACUUUGUCAUCCCGUUAGCUCAUUUUCAAAUGGUCAUAUCUCACGCGUUUCUCAUCAAUCGAGCUUUUGACCAUGAGUUGGAAAGUUAUCGAGCCAAAUUUUCAUCUCCAAUUUGAAUCUACCCAAAAUAUUAAGUGUGUUAUGAGAUAUGCCAUUUUGAAGUUGACCCUUAUGAAAAACCCUUAUGAACAAAUAAAGUUACUUUUAUGAACAGAUGAGUUACUCUUAUGACCAAAUGGAGUUACUUGUAUAAUAUGUGGUUACUUUUAACGAUAAAAGAUUGUCACUCCUAUAAAGAAAUGUACUUACUCUUUUAAGCAAAAUAGGAUUACCCAUGUGAACAACACUAGUAGAAAUUUCUUAUUGCUGUGGUGGCAUGAUUAGAUGAGUGUACUAGCAUAAAUAAAUUGAAUUAAUGAGUUUACCAGCAUAAAUAAAUUGGCUUACUCAUCAUAUGAUUAAAUGAGUUUACUAGCAUAUAUAAAUUGGGUUAUUCCUUAUGAACGAGUGAGGUUACUCUUAUUAAUAAGUGGAGGUUACUUGUACGAAUAAUUUGGGUUACUAAUAAUAUGAAUAAAAUGAGGUUAUUUAUGUGAACAAAAUAAGGUUACUCAUAUGAUUAAAUGGGGUUACUAGUAUGAAUAAAUGGCUUACUCCUGAUGAACGAAUGAGGUCACUUGUAUUAAUAAGUGGGGGUUACUUGUAUGAACAAUUGGGGUUACUGAUGCGAAAAAAUGGGUUACUUAUGUGAACAAAAUGAGGUUACUCAUAUGAUUAAAUGGGGUUACUGGUAUGAAUAAAUAGGGUUACUCUUUAUAAACGAACGAGGUUACGAGCUCGUAUGAUUAAAUGAGGUUACUAGUAUGAUUAAACGAGGUUACUCAUAAGAUCAUAAGACAAGGUUACUCAUAAGAUUGAAUGAGGUUAAUCAUAGUAUUAAACGAGGUUACUACAACAAUAUUUUAAGGUUACUCAUAUAAUAGUUUUAAGGUUACUCAUAUGAACAAAUGAGAUUACUGGUAUGAUAUGGUAUGAAUAAAUAAGGUUACUGGUAUGAACAAAGAGGUUACUCAGAGAAAUCCACAAAUCGAAGCAAACGUUAAACUAACUUCCGUUAUAAAUCCCCAAAUUAACUUAUGCAAUUCAAUCUUCAAACUCUUUUCCCCUCAAAGAUAACAGUUUAGAAAGAGGGCAGAUAAGAUACAAGAUAGAUAUCAAAUGAAGAGUUUUUUAGAGAUUGAAAAGCAAGAGAAAAAGAGAGAGAACGAGUGAAGCUUCCUUCAAUGGAGGAGAGCGAAAAUAGAAGAAAUGAAUUGAGGAGAGAUCAAAUGUUAAAUAGUCUUAAAGAGGUCCAAGGAAAGUAACGUCGUUGUCGGCUUCAACCAUGAGAGAGAAGUGUUUGCUAUGUAAUUCACAAGAGAAUCACGCAGAUGAAGAAGUGCUAAUUUUCACCUAGGCUUAUAUAUAGGCCGGCCACACUCAAAAUUACUGGUUUAGUCGGCUGUAUAUAAGAAUUUGUGUAUGGUGAUUUGUUUUAUGUUGCGAUUUGUGCCGAGAUACAUGAGUAGCUAUGACUGUUUUGUGCGUGUCAUUAAAGAACAAGGAAAGAUUAAGUUCUGAGUUUUAUUAUAGAUUUUAAAUUCAUAUACAAUAGUGUAAAAGAUCAUACACAAAGGGAUUUUAGUUAAAGAUUUAAGUAUUAGAGUUUGGAACAAUUGUUUAAUGAAUUAUAGUGUAUACAUCAGAGAAGUUCAUAACAACAACAAGAAAAAUUCAGAUUGUAUGACGAUUCUGAAUAUGAUUUUUAGGUAUUUGAGUAGUAAUCUGAUGUGAAUUGAGUAUUAAUUAUUACUCAAUAUAUUUUCAACGUGCUCAAUUCGUAGAAGGCAAAUUUUAGUGUGUAGUUGUGUGUAAUUCACGUUUGAGAGGUACGUACUAAUACUAGGUAUUACUAGUAGUGUUAGCAGUCAUAGUUAUUAUGUUUAGUUAUCUAUUUCGGAGCAAUUCAUUCGAGAUGUGAGCAAAACUCAAAUUGGAGAAUAAUAUCGCCUUUGGGUUCCUUUAUUGGGACUAUGUUUCUAUUUUUUUUUUCUAAUUGGUCAGGGGCUCUUUUACCUAACUCAUAAUAGAAAACUUGGGUUUAGCGUUUUAAAAAGACCUAUCAAUAAAGAAUGAUGGAACUUAGAAUCAUGAUUAGGGAAGGAAAAUUGUGUGCUAUUAUGUGGUAUUACUUAUAAUACAUAUGAUGAUAUUAUUUCGACUUCUACGAAAGAAUAUGUAUUAUGCUAUUCUCCGUGAACGAGAAAUUUUUAUUAGUAGUGGACAUGUUAUUCUAUAUGUGAAAGUAUUGGGUCAGACCGUCUGACCCAAUACCUUCCGUCGGACGGGCUUAGCCCAUCAAAAACGCGCGGGCAUUUUUUUUUUCAUAUUUGUUUUGUUGAUCAACAGCUUUGUUUAUUUUUAGAAAAAACAUUUAACGGUUAUUAGGUCAUUAUCUUUUUUCGAGUUUGAAACUGUUUUUUGGAUAUCUGCUUGAUUCUCGCUAGUUUUAAAACUGAUUCUUCUUCUUUUCAAAAAAACCGAUAUAUUAUUUACUGAUUAUUUCUAGAAUUUUUCUGCUUCUCUGCUGUUGAAACUUAGCGUGUUUUUUUGUUCGUAAUUCAUUACUGUUGCAUCGCAAAUAUGGUGAAGAAAAUCAGAGAUGAUGAUUCUAGGUAUAAUUUCGUUUGAUUUUUGCUGGAAUUUUUUUUUUUGUUUUCAAAUUUUAAGCGUUUCUGUUGUUGUAAUUGUAAUGUAGCCCGAAGUCGAAGAAGGUGAAGAGUGUCGCAUCUUCAGGAAAAAUUUUGGCACUGUCUACUGCUGGGAAGAAGAAAGAGAAAGAUGGUGAUUAUGAUCCAAGGUAGAUUUCAAGUUCUUAGUGUAAUUGAGAUAUUUAUUUUGUUUUUUCUAUUUUUGGAUGUUUUCAGUUUAUUAGUGUAUUUAUUUCAUGUUUUAGGGUUUGUGUUUCAGUUUUUGUUGCUUUGUAUUAUACACAUAUGUUUUCAGUUGUUGUUGUUUUUCAGUUGAUAUUUAUAUUCUUUCAGUUGAUUAUAGUAUUCUUUCAGUUGCUACUUGUAUUCUUUUAGUUGAUGUUGUUUUUCAGUUGAUAUUUAUAUUCUUUCAGUUUAUUUCUGUAUUGUUUCAGUUGAUUCUAGUAUUGUUUCAGUUGCUUCUUAUAUUCUUUCAGUUGAUGUUGUUUUUGUUUCAUUUUGACAUUUCUACCUUUCUUUUGGUGUUUUUCAUUUGUUUUUUUUUUUACUUUUUUUUAAAAAUAAAGAUGUGUAACUGAAAAAUGAAGAAGUGUAACUGAAAAAUGAAGUAGUGUAACUGAAACAAUGUAAAUUGUAACUGAAUAUUUUUAGUCUCAUUGGAAAACAAUGAAAUAAAGAGUCAUUAUACUAAAUGAAAUAGUAAGAAGACCAACUGAAAAAUAAAGAAGUGUAACUGAAAAAUAAAGAAGUCUAACUGAAGCACUAUAUAGACUAUCUGAAAAACAAAUAAGUCUAUCUGAAGCACUAUAUAGACUAGCUGAAAAACGGAGAAGUCUAUCUGAAAAACAAAGAAGUCUAUCUGAAGCACUAUAUAGACUAGCUGAAAAACAAACAAGUCUAUCUGAAGCACUAUAUAUACUAGCUGAAAAACAAAUAAGUUUAUCUGAAGCACUAUAUAGACUAGCUGAAAAACGGAGAAGUCUAUCUGAAAAACAAACAAGUCUAUAUGAAGCACUAUAUAGACUAGCUGAAAAACGAACAAGUCUAUCUGAAGCACUAUAUAUACCAGCUGAAAAACGAACAAGUCUAUCUGAAGCACUAUAUUGACUAGCUGAAAAACAAACAUGUUUAACUGAAGCACUAUAUAAACUAGCUGAUAAAACAAAUUAAACAAGUCUAACUGAAGCAAUGUAAAUUUCCAAUGAAAAUUUUAAGUGUAAUUGGAAUAGAAUGAAAUAAAAGAAUAAUUAUACUAAAUGAAAUAAUUAGGACUAGCUGAUAAACAAACAAGUCUAAGUGAAGCACAAUAAAGAAGUUACUUUGAAGGACUGUAGAGACUAGCUGAGAGUUAAUAAGUCUAACUGAAGAGUUAAUAAGUAUAACUGAAGAGUAAAUAGUUCUAACUGAAAACUAAAUAAGUCUAACUGAAAACUAAACUAGUCUAACUGAACACUAAAUAAGUCUAACUGAAAACUAAAUAAGUCUAACUGAAAACUAUAUUAACUGAAAAUAAAAUAAGUUUAACUGAAUAAUAAACAAGUCUAACUGAGUAUUAAAUAAGUCUAACUGAAAAAGAAUUUAAUGAGUGAAAAAUAGACUUUUGUUGCAAUGUAAAUGCUAAUUUUAUACAUACUAACUGAUACAAUCGAAAUUCUAACUGAAAAUGAGUAAAUGCAAUUGAAAAUUAAUUUUAGACAUACACCUGUUUCUUUGUCUUCUUUUCCAGCUGAUUCUUCAUGUAAUUUCUUUUUUUUUUUUUUUUCUGAUGUGAUAUCUGUGUUACGGUUUUCAUUGUUUAGUUCAAUUUGUAAUGUGAGAUCUCUGUCAGUAUUCUCAUUGCUUAGACCAAUUUGUAAUGAACAUCCGAUUUGUGAAUUCGAAUCUUCGGUUGACAUUUUUGGUUGAACUAGAUUUGAGUAGUGGAAUGUUCAAAUGAGAUUUAAUUGCAGGGAGAAAGUGGAUCUGUUCGAUAUGUUUCGGUUGUUUUUGUUUUUGAACAAUGGCGGAUGAAGCGGAUGAAGGGGAUGCAAGUGUUUUUUUUGUUUUUUAUUUUUA
This is a long non-coding RNA of Beta vulgaris subsp. vulgaris (sugar beet), 6725 nucleotides long. RefSeq lists it as uncharacterized. The record is from RefSeq and is a predicted model, not a curated record. The transcript has 2 exons. Lineage: Eukaryota; Viridiplantae; Streptophyta; Magnoliopsida; Caryophyllales; Amaranthaceae.